This 460-nucleotide ribosomal RNA is filed under the name uncultured bacterium. RNAcentral's name for it is "partial 16S ribosomal RNA". It matches the Rfam family "Bacterial small subunit ribosomal RNA", at positions 338 to 795 of the family's 1533-position model. The record is from RNAcentral.
CCUACGGGUGGCAGCAGUGAGGAAUAUUGGUCAAUGGGCGGAAGCCUGAACCAGCCAAGUAGCGUGCAGGAUGAAGGCCCUACGGGUUGUAAACUGCUUUUAUACGGGAAUAACGCGCCUUACGCGUAGGCCUUUGCAUGUACCUUAUGAAUAAGCACCGGCUAAUUCCGUGCCAGCAGCCGCGGUAAUACGGAAGGUCCGGGCGUUAUCCGGAUUUAUUGGGUUUAAAGGGUGCGCAGGCGGCAGGUCAAGGGUGCGGUGAAAUGUCCGGGCUCAACCCGGGCCUUGCAGCGCGAACUGGCAGUCUUGAGUCGGCGGAAAGCAGGCGGAAUGCGUCGUGUAGCGGUGAAAUGCUUAGAUAUGGCGAAGAACCCCGAUUGCGAAGGCAGCUUGCUGCAGCGGAACUGACGCUGAUGCUCGAAAGCGCGGGUAUCGAACAGGAUUAGAUACCCGGGUAGUC